RNAcentral lists this transfer-messenger RNA (370 nucleotides) under Buchnera aphidicola (Brevicoryne brassicae). It matches the Rfam family "transfer-messenger RNA". Rfam says of the family: Bacterial tmRNA, also known as 10Sa RNA or SsrA, is named for its dual tRNA and mRNA-like properties. Its role is to liberate the mRNA from a stalled ribosome. Lineage: Bacteria; Pseudomonadati; Pseudomonadota; Gammaproteobacteria; Enterobacterales; Erwiniaceae. The record is from RNAcentral.
GGGGCUGUUUUUGGAUUUGACAAAAUUAUCCACAAAAUAAAGUGCAUGCCGAGGAACGGUUUGCCUCGAUAAAAGCCGUAAAAAAAUAUCUGCAAACAAUAAACAAAACUACGCUUUAGCAGCUUAAAAAACUGUAUAAAGCCCUUUCUGCUCAGCUUUUUCUCUUAAGACGAGGAUCACAGAAAGGUCAAAAAAAAGAGAAAAACGUGAAUAUUAAGCUUGAUAAUUAUCACGUAAUAACUUUUCAGGCUAUGUGCCUAAAAUGUGUUUUUUCAAAUUAGGCAACGAAUUUAAAAAAUAAAAAACUAAGCAUGUAGUACUUUAUUCUCGUAGAAAUUUUGGACGCGGGUUCAAAUCCCGCCAGCUCCAA